This 497-nucleotide ribosomal RNA is filed under the name uncultured bacterium. Its description in RNAcentral is "partial 16S ribosomal RNA". It matches the Rfam family "Bacterial small subunit ribosomal RNA", at positions 28 to 507 of the family's 1533-position model. The record is from RNAcentral.
GAUGAACGCUGGCGGCGUGCCUAAUACAUGCCAGUCGAGCGAACGGACGAGAAGCUUGCUUCUCUGAUGUUAGCGGCGGACGGGUGAGUAACACGUGGAUAACCUACCUAUAAGACUGGGAUAACUUCGGGAAACCGGAGCUAAUACCGGAUAAUAUUUUAAACCGCAUGGUUCAAAAGUAAAAGACGGUCUUGCUGUCACUUAUAGAUGGAUCCGCGCUGCAUUAGCUAGUUGGUAAGGUAACGGCUUACCAAGGCAACGAUGCAUAGCCGACCUGAGAGGGUGAUCGGCCACACUGGAACUGAGGCACGGUCCAGACUCCUACGGGAGGCAGCAGUAGGGAAUCUUCCGCAAUGGGCGAAAGCCUGACGGAGCAACGCCGCGUGAGUGAUGAAGGUCUUCGGAUCGUAAAACUCUGUUAUUAGGGAAGAACAUAUGUGUAAGUAACUGUGCACAUCUUGACGGUACCUAAUCAGAAAGCCACGGCUAACUACGUG